RNAcentral lists this ribosomal RNA (202 nucleotides) under uncultured bacterium. RNAcentral's name for it is "partial 16S ribosomal RNA". It matches the Rfam family "Archaeal small subunit ribosomal RNA", at positions 471 to 675 of the family's 1478-position model. The record is from RNAcentral.
UAAAACCAGCACCCCGAGUGGUCGGGACGUUUAUUGGGCCUAAAGCAUCCGUAGCCGGUUCUACAAGUCUUCCGUUAAAUCCACCUGCUUAACAGAUGGGCUGCGGAAGAUACUAGAGCUAGGAGGCGGGAGAGGCAAGCGGUACUCGAUGGGUAGGGGUAAAAUCCGUUGAUCCAUUGAAGACCACCAGUGGCGAAGGCGG